UUGGCGGACGGGUGAGUAACGCGUGGGUAACCUGCCUUGUACUGGGGGACAACAGUUGGAAACGACUGCUAAUACCGCAUAAGCGCACAGCUUCGCAUGAAGCGGUGUGAAAAACUCCGGUGGUACAAGAUGGACCCGCGUCUGAUUAGCUGGUUGGUGAGGUAACGGCCCACCAAGGCGACGAUCCAUAGCCGACCUGAGAGGGUGACCGGCCACAUUGGGACUGAGACACGGCCCAA
RNAcentral lists this ribosomal RNA (239 nucleotides) under uncultured bacterium. RNAcentral describes it as "partial 16S ribosomal RNA". It matches the Rfam family "Bacterial small subunit ribosomal RNA", at positions 95 to 334 of the family's 1533-position model. The record is from RNAcentral.